CUGCCUUCGAGAGGGGAAUAACGGCUGGAAACGGUCGCUAAUACCGCAUAACAUACCGGGAGGACAUCCUGCUGGUAUCAAAGAUUUUAUCGCUCGAAGAUGGGCUCGCGUCCGAUUAGGUAGUUGGUGAGGUAACGGCUCACCAAGCCGACGAUCGGUAGCCGGACUGAGAGGUUGAACGGCCACAUUGGGACUGAGACACGGCCCAGACUCCUACGGGAGGCAGCAGUGGGGGAUAUUGCACAAUGGGGGAAACCCUGAUGCAGCGACGCCGCGUGUGGGAAGACGGUCCUCGGAUUGUAAACCACUGUCCCCAGGGACGAAGAUGACGGUACCUGGGGAGGAAGCUCCGGCUAACUACGUGCCAGCAGCCGCGGUAAUACGUAGGGAGCGAGCGUUGUCCGGAAUUACUGGGUGUAAAGGGAGCGUAGGCGGGGAUGCAAGUUGGGUGUCAAAACUACCGGCUCAACUGGUAGUCUGCACUCAAAACUGCAGCUCUUGAGUGAAGUAGAGGCAGGCGGAAUUCCUAGUGUAGCGGUGAAAUGCGUAGAUAUUAGGAGGAACACCAGUGGCGAAGGCGGCCUGCUGGGCUUUUACUGACGCUGAGGCUCGAAAGUGUGGGGAGCAAACAGGAUUAGAUACCCUGGUAGUCCACACCGUAAACGAUGA
RNAcentral lists this ribosomal RNA (669 nucleotides) under uncultured bacterium. RNAcentral's name for it is "bacterial SSU rRNA". It matches the Rfam family "Bacterial small subunit ribosomal RNA", at positions 126 to 812 of the family's 1533-position model. The record is from RNAcentral.